RNAcentral lists this unclassified non-coding RNA (247 nucleotides) under Glomeromycotina sp. RNAcentral describes it as "partial contains small subunit ribosomal RNA, internal transcribed spacer 1, and 5.8S ribosomal RNA". The stretch from base 1 to 47 matches the Rfam family "Eukaryotic small subunit ribosomal RNA", at positions 1785 to 1831 of the family's 1831-position model. Lineage: Eukaryota; Fungi; Glomeromycota. The record is from RNAcentral.
AAAGUCGUAACAAGGUUUCCGUAGGUGAACCUGCGGAAGGAUCAUUAAUGAAGUACGCUCUUUAAGGGCAUUCUCCAUUUAUUCACCCUUUGUGCACUUGUCCAAUGUUAUUUUGGCGAAAUGACCCUCUCUCUCUUAUGUGAGAAGGCGUCGCCAAAAGCUUUUUUUUUCCUACGCUUUGAAUAUAUGUCUAAAACCAUGAAUCCAUAAUGAAAGAAAACUUUUAACAACGGAUCUCUUGGCUCUC